RNAcentral lists this ribosomal RNA (429 nucleotides) under Gemmatimonadota bacterium. RNAcentral describes it as "Gemmatimonadetes bacterium partial 16S ribosomal RNA". It matches the Rfam family "Bacterial small subunit ribosomal RNA", at positions 355 to 776 of the family's 1533-position model. The record is from RNAcentral. Lineage: Bacteria; Pseudomonadati; Gemmatimonadota.
UAGGGAAUCUUCGGCAAUGGACGAAAGUCUGACCGAGCAACGCCGCGUGAGUGAAGAAGGUUUUCGGAUCGUAAAACUCUGUUGUUAGAGAAGAACAAGGACGUUAGUAACUGAACGUCCCCUGACGGUAUCUAACCAGAAAGCCACGGCUAACUACGUGCCAGCAGCCGCGGUAAUACGUAGGUGGCAAGCGUUGUCCGGAUUUAUUGGGCGUAAAGCGAGCGCAGGCGGUUUCUUAAGUCUGAUGUGAAAGCCCCCGGCUCAACCGGGGAGGGUCAUUGGAAACUGGGAGACUUGAGUGCAGAAGAGGAGGGUGGAAUUCCAUGUGUAGCGGUGAAAUGCGUAGAUAUAUGGAGGAACACCAGUGGCGAAGGCGGCUCUCUGGUCUGUAACUGACGCUGAGGCUCGAGAGCGUGGGGAGCAAACAGG